RNAcentral lists this unclassified non-coding RNA (377 nucleotides) under uncultured bacterium. RNAcentral describes it as "contains 16S-23S intergenic spacer region". The record is from RNAcentral.
UCACCGCUUGCGCGGGCAGUCUCCUUAGAGUUCCCGACAUUACUCGCUGGCAACUAAGGACAAGGGUUGCGCUCGUUGCGGGACUUAACCCAACAUCACACGACACGAGCUGACGACAGCCAUGCAGCACCUGUCUCACGGUUCCCGAAGGCACCCCUCUAUCUCUAAAGGGUUCCGUGGAUGUCAAGGCCAGGUAAGGUUCUUCGCGUUGCAUCGAAUUAAACCACAUACUCCACCGCUUGUGCGGGCCCCCGUCAAUUCCUUUGAGUUUCAGCCUUGCGACUGUACUCCCCAGGCGGCAUAUUUAACGCGUUAGCUCCGGCACGGACAGAAUGAACUGCCCACACCAAAUAUGCAUCGUUUAGGGCGUGGACUAC